This 745-nucleotide long non-coding RNA is filed under the name Homo sapiens (human). RNAcentral's name for it is "HSALNT0348556". Lineage: Eukaryota; Metazoa; Chordata; Mammalia; Primates; Hominidae. The record is from RNAcentral.
AUGCUCCAGUGGAGUGUCAGGGAAAGAUAGGAAAAAAGACAAAUCAUUUUAAAAUGGUGCUUUUCCAGAGACAGAGCACAGCUGAAAGUUAGACUGCAGGUAUUUAAGCCUACAGAAAUGUAAGCAGAAAGAUAAUGUGAUCUACUUUGUGAGAGGCAAACUCCUUGGCUGUAAUGUUGAAGGGAAUGAACUCAGAUGAGGCUAGAAAGCAAAUGCAAUAAUUCAGAUUAGAGAUGGUAACAGUCUUUUUCAACGCAGAGUUCAAGAAGAUGGAGAUGAGAGGCAAAACACAGAUGAGAGCAGUCUCAACAGGGUUUGGUGACCGACUACAAUGUGUAUUUCUGGCAGCUGUGAAGGAAUCACUCUGAGCAAGCAGAAGUCCCCACACUCUUACCCUCUGCCUCUUCUGUGGAGAGAAGCGCUGUGGGCCCACCUCCAUCCCAGCUGAAGAAGUGGACUAGCUCCUGGUGGAAGAAGAAAAGAGCCAUGUCUACUUCAGAAGGCUGCUGUCACACAGUGGGAACCCCAGCCAUGCCAGUAAAACCCACGAUCAGUGCCGCUGUAUCCUCAAGGCUGAGCCAUUGAGCCACUGACUCCCCUGAUCCUCCCACCAGAGAUGAAAAGUGACCCAAACACUAAGCCAACCAGCAUUCCAGCUUCUUCUGCGCCGCCUAGGUGGAGCAACCGGAGGGAAGCAAGGCACUUGGAGGUCAGCCAUUCCUGGCUGGCCAGGCCUGGCUGCUGG